This 376-nucleotide unclassified non-coding RNA is filed under the name soil metagenome. RNAcentral describes it as "partial contains 5.8S ribosomal RNA, internal transcribed spacer 2, and large subunit ribosomal RNA". The stretch from base 1 to 120 matches the Rfam family "5.8S ribosomal RNA", at positions 35 to 154 of the family's 154-position model. The record is from RNAcentral.
GAUGAAGAACGCAGCGAAAUGCGAUAAGUAAUGUGAAUUACAGAAUUCAGUGAAUCAUCGAAUCUUUGAACGCAUCUUGCGCUCCUUGGUAUUCUGAGGAGCAUGCCUGUUUGAGUGUCAUUAAAUUCUCAACUACACUGACUUUGAAUUGGUGUGGCUUGGAUUUGGGGGGAAAAUUGUUGUGGGCUUUUUGUAUAGUCUGCUCCCCUGAAAUUGAUUAGCGGUACCUUUGUGGAACUGUCUACAGGUGUGAUAAUUAUCUACAUCUUAGACAUCUGCUGGAAUGCUGCUUUCUAAACCUUACUUGUAUUGACAAUCUUGACCUCAAAUCAGGUAGGACUACCCGCUGAACUUAAGCAUAUCAAUAAGCGGAGGA